This 402-nucleotide ribosomal RNA is filed under the name uncultured bacterium. RNAcentral describes it as "bacterial SSU rRNA". It matches the Rfam family "Bacterial small subunit ribosomal RNA", at positions 29 to 416 of the family's 1533-position model. The record is from RNAcentral.
AACGAACGCUGGCGGCGUGCCUAACACAUGCAAGUCGUGCGAGAAAGCGGGGGCAACCCUGUGAGUAAAGCGGCGCACGGGUGAGUAACACGUAGGUAACCUGCCUCCGAGAUCGGGAUAACCCUCCGAAAGGAAGGCUAAUACCGGAUAAGACCACGGGGCUCUGGCCCUGAGGUCAAAGAUGGCCUCUGCUUGCAAGCUAUCACUUGGAGAUGGGCCUGCGUACCAUUAGCUAGUUGGUGAGGUAACGGCUCACCAAGGCGAAGAUGGUUAGCUGGUCUGAGAGGAUGAUCAGCCACACUGGGACUGAGACACGGCCCAGACUCCUACGGGAGGCAGCAGUGGGAAUAUUGGACAAUGGGGAAACCCUGAUCCAGCGACGCCGCGUGGGUGAUGAAGGCC